RNAcentral lists this ribosomal RNA (500 nucleotides) under uncultured bacterium. RNAcentral's name for it is "partial 16S ribosomal RNA". It matches the Rfam family "Bacterial small subunit ribosomal RNA", at positions 30 to 523 of the family's 1533-position model. The record is from RNAcentral.
AUUGAACGCUGGCGGCAUGCUUUACACAUGCAAGUCGAACGGUAACAGGGUGCUUGCACCGCUGACGAGUGGCGAACGGGUGAGUAAUGCGUCGGAACGUGCCGAGUAGUGGGGGAUAACGCAGCGAAAGUUGUGCUGAUACCGCAUACGUACUGAGGUAGAAAGUGGGGGACCUUCGGGCCUCACGCUAUUCGAGCGGCCGACGUCUGAUUAGCUAGUAGGUGAGGUAAAGGCUCACCUAGGCGACGAUCAGUAGCGGGUCUGAGAGGAUGAUCCGCCACACUGGGACUGAGACACGGCCCAGACUCCGACGGGAGGCAGCAGUGGGGAAUUUUGGACAAUGGGCGAAAGCCUGAUCCAGCCAUGCCGCGUGUCUGAAGAAGGCCUUCGGGUUGUAAAGGACUUUUGUCAGGGAGGAAAUCCCUAGUGCUAAUAACACUGGGGGAUGACGGUACCUGAAGAAUAAGCACCGGCUAACUACGUGCCAGCAGCCGCCGUAA